UACCCUACCUCAAGUGCCCCCUGCACACGGUGGUCAAGCUGACGCCCGUGGCCUACGGCUGCGAGGUGGAGUCCAUCUUCCUCAACGUGGAGGCCGUGAACACGCACCGCGAGCGGCCCCAGAACGUCGACGUCAGCCGCCCCCCUGCCGAAGCCCUGGUCACGGUGCCCGAGCACUACUGAGGCCCCCCCGG
Long non-coding RNA from Nothoprocta perdicaria, 193 nucleotides. RefSeq lists it as uncharacterized. NCBI's taxonomy places the organism in Eukaryota, Metazoa, Chordata, Aves, Tinamiformes, Tinamidae. The transcript has 3 exons. The record is from RefSeq and is a predicted model, not a curated record.